Long non-coding RNA from Xiphophorus hellerii (green swordtail), 2056 nucleotides. RefSeq lists it as uncharacterized. The transcript has 4 exons. The record is from RefSeq and is a predicted model, not a curated record. Lineage: Eukaryota; Metazoa; Chordata; Actinopteri; Cyprinodontiformes; Poeciliidae.
UUUAUAUUAAAACCGAAAACUUUAAUGUUUUUAUUGCAUAUUUUACAUAAAGCCCAUAAACUUCAAUGUAUUCCAAUGGGACGUUUACACGAAAACCAACAAUUUUCAUGUAUUUUAUUGCAUAAAAAGCCUUCAAAUGUGUUUUUUGUCAAAAGUUUUACAUAAAAACAAAAAACUUCGAUGUAUUUUACAUGAAAAUGGUCUCAGGACAACAUUAUCGUUUAUCUCAAUAACUUCAGUAACAAUUUGUUUGUUAUAUUUUCCUCAUUUGUAACCUUAUCUGUUCUUUUAUCUGAAUUAGUUUUCUAUCUUUAUCGCUCUGCUGAGUUUCUCCACCUGUUUCUGAGCUGCAGCUUCUCUCCCUCCUUUCUUCGCUGCUUUACGAGCGAAACUGUUUAGUGCUCAGAGUUUGAAGGCACUCGAGGUCAUAGAGGAGACGGAGGGAAGGGGCGGGGGGCCGGAUGAGCGCCGCGCCGCGCCGGUCGGCCGGUCAGGUGCGGCGCCACCAGUGAUCAUUAGGGUUACAGCUGCCCGGCCCAGAUUGUGUGCUGCCUGCACCAGGCGAGAUGUUCUGCCCAGGGAGAGGAGCGAGCAUCUGUCUGUCCCUCCCCGUAGACAGCCGCCUCCUACCAGCCUGUCCAACUCAACCCAACUGGUAACAAGGUCACCCAACUCUUACUUUCCCUCACUUACACACACACACACACGCCCACACACACACACACACAUCCACUCUGCAUUUCACUUCCUGUUUUGCUCCUUCGCAGAACGGCCAUGCAGAAAAAGGUGUGUGAAAUGUAACGUGUCGUUCACACCAGCCCUGUUCAGUCCGCUUUGAUCCAACUACAGAAGUGGACUACAGCGCAAGGCAUUCUGGUGGUUCUUGGUGCAGCGCCCCCACAGGCCAGGAGGGGAACAGAAAUAUCCUGGCCUGUCAAAGGAAGCACAGUGGGUCGCCUUUAAUCACGCAACUGUUAUCUCGCGGCGAGCCAGAUUUGGCCCCCGGACCUCGAGUUUGACACCAGCUGUAAAGCGUGCAGAGGAAUGAUGAAGGCGCGUCGGUCGGUGUGAAGUUAGGAAACCUGAACAGCAACAGAGAUUCAAAGUGGAAGACAGAAAAAAAACCCGGGCUGAAAAUCGGUGUCACAAACUGGCCGAGCCCCGGCUGGUCCGCAGCGCCACCUAACAUCCCCGCAUGAAUAUUCAUGCGGACGGAUUUCUCUUUUGUUGCCUGCCUAGUCAGCAGUCACCGAACACAUGGUGAGUGUUGGCAGCGCCCGGCCUAGGUAGAGGGGCCGUGGACGGAGGCAGUGGCAGGAACCAGGACCUGUGAGGCUGACUGACAUUUCCAUCUGUGGCGAGGCCUGGUAAUUAUCGGGGAGAGGAGCGCCCGCAGCAGCGCGCCAUCUGCUAGGGGAGAUGGCUCAAUGAGGUAUGAGCACGAGCGGCUCUCCGUCGGGCCACUGCCUGCCUCUGACAUGAGGGCUCGCAUCUGCUACCGAGGAGCCGGGCCGCCCAACACAGCCUGUCUGCCUGGCCGGGAGAGGGGGCUGACAGGAGGGAGGAGAGCAGCCAACAGCCCCCCUGACCCGCGCCGCCCUCCGCCCCCUCGCCGCCGCUGCCCUGCCAAAGGAACACUUGACAAACAGCACAGCCCACUCACAAGUUUUCAUACAGAUCUCAUCGAGUUGUUGGGGUUUUCUGUAAACGGCGCCGCAGAGAUCCGGUUCUGGCUCGGUGUUAUGGUUUGUUUUCUGACUCAUUCGGCUCGCUAAGACUGCGGAUCACACACCUGGCGAGUGUGUGGGUGUUUAUGUGUGUGUGUCCUUGUUCUUUCUGUUUGAGCCCAGUAUGGCGAGUCCAACUGGGUGCUGCUGAUAUUACAUUCAGCCCACAGACUCGCUCUCAGAUCCGCACACCAACAUCCCACAGUAACGGUACGGAGCUGCAGGAUGCAGAAAAACACAGCUGUGAGCAAGACUCCACUUUACAGCCAUGUGUGUUUUCAAUAAAUUCCCUCUAAAUAAAAUAGAUUUCAUCUAGUCACACCCUGGAA